Molecule: ribosomal RNA, 253 nt
Filed under: uncultured bacterium
Lineage: Bacteria
Description: partial 16S ribosomal RNA
Rfam family: Bacterial small subunit ribosomal RNA
Source: RNAcentral
UACAGAGGGUACAAGCGUUAAUCGGAAUUACUGGGCGUAAAGCGUGCGUAGUCGGUUAUCUAAGUCGGAUGUGAAAUCCCCGGGCUCAACCUGGGAAUUGCAUUCGAAACUGAAUAGCUAGAGUUCGGCAGAGGGAAGUGGAAUUUCCGGUGUAGCGGUGAAAUGCGUAGAUAUCGGAAGGAACAUCAGUGGCGAAAGCGACUUCCUGGACCAGAACUGACGAUCAGGCACGAAAGCGUGGGGAGCAAACAGG